UGAGGAAUAUUGGUCAAUGGGCGGAAGCCUGAACCAGCCAAGUAGCGUGAAGGAUGACUGCCCUAUGGGUUGUAAACUUCUUUUACAAGGGAAUAAUUGUGGGUACGCGUACCCAUUUGCAUGUACCUUAUGAAUAAGCAUCGGCUAACUCCGUGCCAGCAGCCGCGGUAAUACGGAGGAUGCGAGCGUUAUCCGGAUUUAUUGGGUUUAAAGGGUGCGUAGGUUGUUCGGUAAGUCAGCGGUGAAACCUGAGCGCUCAACGUUCAGCCUGCCGUUGAAACUGCCGGGCUUGAGUUCAGUGGCGGCAGGCGGAAUUCGUGGUGUAGCGGUGAAAUGCAUAGAUAUCACGAGGAACUCCGAUUGCGAAGGCAGCUUGCCAUACUGCGACCGACACUGAAGCACGAAGGCGUGGGUAUCAAACAGGAUUAGAUACCCUGGUAGUCCACGCAGUAAACGAUGAUUACUAGGAGUUUGCGAUAUACCGUCAAGCUUCCACAGCGAAAGCGUUAAGUAAUCCACCUGGGGGAGUACGCCGGCAACGGUG
This 544-nucleotide ribosomal RNA is filed under the name uncultured bacterium. Its description in RNAcentral is "bacterial SSU rRNA". It matches the Rfam family "Bacterial small subunit ribosomal RNA", at positions 355 to 896 of the family's 1533-position model. The record is from RNAcentral.